Molecule: long non-coding RNA, 1297 nt
Filed under: Homo sapiens (human)
Lineage: Eukaryota; Metazoa; Chordata; Mammalia; Primates; Hominidae
Description: uncharacterized LOC105372753, transcript variant 2 (LOC105372753)
Source: RNAcentral
ACACAGAUUCUUUCUCCACCACAUGGCUGCUGCUGGGGGAUGGGGCAGGCGUGGUGUGGGCAAUUCAAGACUAUCUUUUCUAUCCUCUUCGGCACCUCUUUCAGUGAUAUGAAGUUAAAACCAGGGAGAAUGAUUGGUGAAGGCUUCUAUUUGGUCAACUUGCUCUGUCUUUAUAGCCAAUUUAUAUUGAUAAGAGUUUCUCUCUAGAUACCAUUUGCGGUAUUCCUGAGUCAGAAGAGAGGAAAGGUGAUACUGCCACCCCCUGUAUGUAUUUCCUUUUAGAUGUGGGAUGUGGUAGGCAGCAUGUUCCCUCCCCAGACUUCUCUCCGAGAGCUGUCUAUGCCCUAAUCCCUGCAACCUGUGAAUAUGUUAUGUUAGUUGGCAAAGGGGACUUUGCAGAUGUAAUUAAAGUUACUGACCAUAUAAUGAGGAGAUUAUUCUGGAUUAUCCAAGUAGGCCCAAUCUAAUUACAUAAAGCCUUCAAAGCAGAGAGCUUUCUCCAACUGGAGGCAGAAGAGAUGCAGCAGCAGCAGCAGCAGCGAGAACAAUUCAAAGUACAGGGACUCAAUGGGAACUUUCUGGUUUGAUGUUGGAGGGAGCAGCAUGAUGAGGAAUUUGCACAGCCUUAAGAGGCUGAGGGAGGCUCCUGGCUAACAGCUAGCCAGGAAAUAUGAUCCUUAGCCUUGCAGUCAUGAAAACUGAAUUCUUCCAACAACUUGAAUGAGUUAUCCCUCAGAGCCUUCAGAUAAGAGUCCAGUUUGCCAGCAAUUUGAUUUCAGUCUGUGAAACCUGGACCAGAGGAACCAGCUGAAUUCACCAGACUUCUGACCCACAGAACUAUGAGAUAAUACAUUGAAUACAUUGAAGUUGUUUAAAGGAGCUCAAUUUGCAGUAAUUUGUUAUGGCAACAAUAGAAAACUGACAUAUGGAGGUAUUGAUAUAGUCAUGAUUUUGAUGACUAACUAGUUUGUGAUCUGGAUAUGAAGUGUCACCAUGCUACAGUGCCUGAGUCUGCUUCAGAUUCUUCUACUUCUUGGCCAUCUUUAUUGGGAAAAUAAGUAUGUGAAAUAAGUAUAGUCUAUUGCCCUUUUUGAGUACCACUGGUUAAUUAAUUUUGUUAUUUUCAAGUGUAUGUGCUUUAAUUCACAUGGCAUUAAAAGAAUCGGUAGUAUAGUUUCACUCAGCCAGAUGAAUCCAGAAAUCUCUUGCUCAUUGAAUCUUCAGAAAUGAGAGUGAGAGCAUUCCAUGAAUCUAGAAUCAAAACACAUUAGUACAAAUAAAGAUCACUAAAAAUAAA